Molecule: transfer RNA, 69 nt
Filed under: Operophtera brumata (winter moth)
Lineage: Eukaryota; Metazoa; Arthropoda; Insecta; Lepidoptera; Geometridae
Rfam family: tRNA
About the family: Transfer RNA (tRNA) molecules are approximately 80 nucleotides in length.
Source: Rfam by way of RNAcentral
UGUUCUAUGGCCGAACUGGUAAAGGUCUGAUCACAGGCAAGGCUGCGGGUUCGAGUCCCGCUGGAACGG